AUAGACGCUCACGAACAUUACAAGUAAAUUCAACAAAGUGGCUGUGCGACACAAUUAGUUUCUUGCGAAACACGCGGGGCGGCGAUGACUAGAAUUACUAAGGCUAGCGACGUGCUUUGCAGCAGGGGUCGCCCUCUCUUGUAUUAUAUUCACACUCAUAGUAAUGUUGUCUGUUGGAAUUGGUCUCGGCUACAAUUAUUGUUUGGUUGACACGGGUACCGCGACGCCCACAACUCAAG
This is a long non-coding RNA of Leptidea sinapis, 239 nucleotides long. RefSeq lists it as uncharacterized. Lineage: Eukaryota; Metazoa; Arthropoda; Insecta; Lepidoptera; Pieridae. The record is from RefSeq and is a predicted model, not a curated record. The transcript is spliced from 3 exons.